UACGUAUGGAGCAAGCGUUAUCCGGAUUUACUGGGUGUAAAGGGAGCGCAGGCGGCUUUGCAAGUCUGAUGUGAAAGGCCGGGGCUCAACCCCGGGACUGCAUUGGAAACUGUAAAGCUAGAGUGCCGGAGGGGUAAGCGGAAUUCCUAGUGUAGCGGUGAAAUGCGUAGAUAUUAGGAGGAACACCAGUGGCGAAGGCGGCUUACUGGACUGUAACUGACGUUGAGGCUCGAAAGCGUGGGGAGCAAACAGG
This 253-nucleotide ribosomal RNA is filed under the name uncultured bacterium. Its description in RNAcentral is "partial 16S ribosomal RNA". It matches the Rfam family "Bacterial small subunit ribosomal RNA", at positions 524 to 776 of the family's 1533-position model. The record is from RNAcentral.